RNAcentral lists this ribosomal RNA (253 nucleotides) under uncultured bacterium. RNAcentral's name for it is "partial 16S ribosomal RNA". It matches the Rfam family "Bacterial small subunit ribosomal RNA", at positions 524 to 776 of the family's 1533-position model. The record is from RNAcentral.
UACGUAGGUGGCAAGCGUUGUCCGGAUUUACUGGGCGUAAAGAGCGCGCAGGCGGUCGUUCAAGUCGGGUGUGAAAGCCCCCGGCUCAACUGGGGAGGGUCACUCGAUACUGAUCGACUCGAAGGCAGGAGAGGGUAGUGGAAUUCCCGGUGUAGUGGUGAAAUGCGUAGAUAUCGGGAGGAACACCAGUGGCGAAGGCGACUACCUGGCCUGUUCCUGACGCUGAGGCGCGAAAGCUAGGGGAGCAAACGGG